AGCAGCUUGGCAGCUUCUCUACAUGGACUCAAGAAAUAUAUUCUGGAUUAUCUGUACCAUCUGCCUCUCACAGGUGUUCAUCUGGAAGCAGGGGGGAGGAGAAGGGCACCUGAGGGCACCAGAAUUGAACGGAAAGUAUUUUAUGGGGCACAAUGCAUUGUGGCAGCUGGUGCUGAUGGAGGAGGAAGGAGGAGGCUGAAUGGAUACUAACUAAUUCUUAACCUGGGAAGAUUGAGAAAGUUUCCUGCAGUUUCACUGAAGCUGAGCUGAAGCUGACUUGGUCUGCUGGGGGAAGUCAGGAUGGGGGAGUGUCAGGUGAAAGUGAUCAACCACCGGAACACAUGACCAAAGGAAGAGGUCAUUCUCCAUCUCAUGACAUCUCCAAAUCAGGCUGUGCCUUAGCUCAAUGCAAAUUACUGGCCUCAUUACAGACGCAACUGCACAGAAUUUAAUGGCCUGUGAUGCACAGGAGGCUAUACCAGAUGAUCUAAUGAUCGCUUUUCACCUUAACCUCCGCGCAUCAGUGAAUAAAAGGAAUGAAUUCUGGUACUGCAGAAAGGUAUUGCAAAUUGGGAAAGGAUGAACUGGCGCUUUUGGCAUCCGAAGAGGAGUGAAGGAUGCUUCUAACAACUGGGAGCUUGUUCAGACUCUAGUAAUAACAUUAAAGAGCAAUAAAUGGAUUCAUUUUUGUAGCGAUUCCCAUUGCUAAAUUCUUUCCUACCAGCAGCCUUGGAAAACAAAAUUUCUUUAUUUCCUUCUGUGUAAAUUUAUGCUUUCAAGACACUCAUUAAAGUAAAUGAAUGCCUUCAUUUGCUAGCAAAUGAAGCAAAUCAUGUGGAGGUCCCUAUUAUUAUCUGUGGAAUAUAGUUAAUACUAAGCUCAGUUCAAAGUCCACUGAAAUUAGGAGGAGUCUCCACAGACUUUCUGCAGUGGAAGUUUGAUCUGGUUCAGUGACAUUUGGGCAGUCAUUAUGCAGUUUUCUUGUAUCUAGACACAGCAAUUAGAAUAGACAUCAGC
Gallus gallus (chicken) is the source of this 1017-nucleotide long non-coding RNA. The record is from Ensembl. Lineage: Eukaryota; Metazoa; Chordata; Aves; Galliformes; Phasianidae.